This 317-nucleotide long non-coding RNA is filed under the name Homo sapiens (human). RNAcentral's name for it is "LHRI_LNC375.1". The record is from RNAcentral. Lineage: Eukaryota; Metazoa; Chordata; Mammalia; Primates; Hominidae.
UAUUCUCUGUUAUUAAGUUUUUUCUUUAUUUUUGGUCUGUAAUAAUCUGACUAUAAAGUUCUAGAUAUGGUUCCUUUACAUUUAUCAUGCUUCACUUUCCCUUACCUUUGAUCAGUGGGUUGAUUUUUUUAUUGAAUUUGGAGAAAUUUCAACCAUUGUAUCUUCAAAUACUUUUUUCUGCUUCUUUAGUACUUUUCCUCCUCCUAAGACUCCAAUUAUAUGUGUGUUAGACCACUUAUAUGGUGCCACCAGUCACGGAGGUGCAACCCCCAGUCUUUUUACUCUUUGUACUUCAGUUUGGUAAUACCUAUUUACCU